AGGACGAACGCUGGCGGCGUGCUUAACACAUGCAAGUCGAGCGGAAAGGCCCUUCGGGGUACUCGAGCGGCGAACGGGUGAGUAGCACGUGAGCAACCUGCCCUUAGCUUCGGGAUAGCUCCGGGAAACCGGAAUUAAUACCGAAUAUGAAUGCGGCUGACAUCAGCCACAUUGGAAAGUUUUUCGGCUAGGGAUGGACUCGCGGCCUAUCAGCUAGUUGGUGAGGUAACGGCCCACCAAGGCGACGACGGGUA
RNAcentral lists this ribosomal RNA (254 nucleotides) under uncultured bacterium. Its description in RNAcentral is "partial small subunit ribosomal RNA". It matches the Rfam family "Bacterial small subunit ribosomal RNA", at positions 26 to 285 of the family's 1533-position model. The record is from RNAcentral.